GGAUUGAAGGCUGAAAUUCGCCUACAUGAAGCUGGAAUUGCUAGUAAUGGCAGGUCAGCAUACUGCCGUGAAUACGUUCCCGGGCCUUGUACACACCGCCCGUCACACCAUGAGAGUUGGGGAUACCCGAAGCCUGUGAGCCAACUGUAAAGAGGCAGCAGUCGAAGGUAGAAUCAAUGAUUGGGGUGAAGUCGUAACAAGGUAUC
RNAcentral lists this ribosomal RNA (206 nucleotides) under uncultured bacterium. RNAcentral's name for it is "partial 16S ribosomal RNA". It matches the Rfam family "Bacterial small subunit ribosomal RNA", at positions 1295 to 1500 of the family's 1533-position model. The record is from RNAcentral.